Molecule: long non-coding RNA, 227 nt
Filed under: Olea europaea subsp. europaea
Lineage: Eukaryota; Viridiplantae; Streptophyta; Magnoliopsida; Lamiales; Oleaceae
Source: RNAcentral
ACCACUUUCCACACCAUUUCAUCACCACAGCAAUUCUAGAUAUCAUAUGUGUUGCUUAUUGCCUCACUUUUGCACUCUUAUUGUUUAGCUGCCAUUUUAUGGUAACUUAUGUCUGGGGAAGGUGUGGCUUCACUCUCUCUCCAAGGGAAUUCAUAACGACACCAAAUACAUUAGCAUAAUAUUAGCAUCACCACUUGUUUGCUCUUGGAAUGCAUAGAGAAUUUAAU